GACGAACGCUGGCGGCGUGCUUAACACAUGCAAGUCGAGCGGUAAGGCCCUUUCGGGGGUACACGAGCGGCGAACGGGUGAGUAACACGUGGGUGACCUGCCCUUAGCUCUGGGAUAAGCCUGGGAAACUGGGUCUAAUACCGGAUAUGACUCCAUGACGCAUGUCGUGGGGUGGAAAGCCUUGUGCGGCUAGGGAUGGGCCCGCGGCCUAUCAGCUUGUUGGUGGGGUGAUGGCCUACCAAGGCGACGACGGGUAGCCGGCCUGAGAGGGCGACCGGCCACACUGGGACUGAGACACGGCCCAGACUCCUACGGGAGGCAGCAGUGGGGAAUCUUGCGCAAUGGGCGAAAGCCUGACGCAGCGACGCCGCGUGAGGGAUGACGGCCU
RNAcentral lists this ribosomal RNA (388 nucleotides) under uncultured bacterium. Its description in RNAcentral is "bacterial SSU rRNA". It matches the Rfam family "Bacterial small subunit ribosomal RNA", at positions 28 to 417 of the family's 1533-position model. The record is from RNAcentral.